Molecule: ribosomal RNA, 274 nt
Filed under: uncultured bacterium
Lineage: Bacteria
Description: partial 16S ribosomal RNA
Rfam family: Bacterial small subunit ribosomal RNA
Source: RNAcentral
AUACGGAGGGUGCGAGCGUUGUUCGGAAUUAUUGGGCGUAAAGAGCAUGUAGGCAGUCGGGUAUGUCGUCCGUGAAAGCCCCCGGCUCAACCGGGGAACGGCGGACGAAACUGCCCGACUCGAGGGCGGGAGAGGCCGGUGGAGCUACCGGAGUAGCGGUGAAAUGCGCAGAUACCGGUAGAAACCUCGAUGGCGAAGGCAGCCGGCUGGCCCGUUCCUGACGCUGAGGCGCGAAAGCGUGGGGAGCGAACCGGAUUAGAAACCCUAGUAGUCC